Molecule: ribosomal RNA, 490 nt
Filed under: uncultured bacterium
Lineage: Bacteria
Description: partial 16S ribosomal RNA
Rfam family: Bacterial small subunit ribosomal RNA
Source: RNAcentral
GAUGAACGCUCGCUACAGGCUUAACACAUGCAAGUCGAGGGGCAGCAUGGUCUUAGCUUGCUAAGGCCGAUGGCGACCGGCGCACGGGUGAGUAACACGUAUCCAACCUGCCGUCUACUCUUGGACAGCCUUCUGAAAGGAAGAUUAAUACAAGAUGGCAUCAUGAGUCCGCAUGUUCACAUGAUUAAAGGUAUUCCGGUAGACGAUGGGGAUGCGUUCCAUUAGAUAGUAGGCGGGGUAACGGCCCACCUAGUCUUCGAUGGAUAGGGGUUCUGAGAGGAAGGUCCCCCACAUUGGAACUGAGACACGGUCCAAACUCCUACGGGAGGCAGCAGUGAGGAAUAUUGGUCAAUGGGCGCAGGCCUGAACCAGCCAAGUAGCGUGAAGGAUGACUGCCCUAUGGGUUGUAAACUUCUUUUAGAAAGGAAUAAAGUCGGGUAUGGAUACCCGUUUGCAUGUACUUUAUGAAUAAGGAUCGGCUAACUCCGUG